UUUAGUAGGAAGAGUUUGUCACCUUCUUGUUUUAAUAAGGAAGAAGAAGAAGGAGAAGAAGAAGAAGAAGAAGAAGCCUUAUGGCACAAACCUAAAUUGGUAGAAUUAAGGAAGUUUUUAGUUCCCCUGCUAAUUCACAGAUAUAUAGAAAGCCUGCAUUUUUCAACCACCUUUGGCAAUUUGCUUCCAGUAGUUCAACAACUCCCCUGUGGACACCUUUACAGCUCAUCGCUGGAUGUUGUACAGAGGGCGACGCUCAGAAGAAAUGGUGAGCGAAGACGAUUACGAAAUCUGAAUACUGCCACAGGAGUUACAGAGUGUGGACAUCAACCUGCAGUCAUUCUGGUCAAACUGAUGUUCGGCAGAGGAGGAGUGCAACACUUCCUGUUGCGACGUACUCUGUAUCCUGUUUUCCACAGUCAGUGGUCAUGCGUGUCAUUCCCCUUCUGCAAGGCUGUGAGGGCACAAUCUCAUGACCUUAGGCUACGAAUCUUCUGAGACUGAAUAGAGGGAGACUCCAAAAAAACUCUGAAUGUCAGCAAAACAAUAUGUAAAAUAGCAAAAUAAAUGCAUCAAGGUCUGUUGGGAAAUGUCUAUGACUUCAGUUGAGCUUGCUAAAAGUUAAUUGGACCAAACUACAGUGAAGAAUGAAUGUAUUUCACUGUGUAAUCCCUGUGUUUUGAAGUGUUGAGUAAGCUGUCACAGUACCAGUAACAGUACAAUUUGAUAACUAUCAGGCUGCUUCCUUCAAAAUAUAUCUGGCCUCUUAAAAUAAGUAAAUACAAAGAUAGUGAUGAGAACAUUGACACCUCCACACGACAAGGCCAAAAACUCCAGGGGCCAAACUAUGUGACUGAGAAUUAAGAGGUGCCAAUGUAACUGUUUGUGUGCUUGUGUGAGCUUUAACCAUCAGAGAUAUGUAUCUUGUGACUGCAUUCAGACGGAAAACUGUGAAGUACUCAGUUACACCCUACAAACCAGAAAGCAGCAUUCGGUCAGAGCUACUGCAGGUCACAAGUAUGUAACUUCACAGUCACUUACACUAGAAAAUAAAUAUGACAAUGUUCUCAACUUUAGUUUAUACAGUACCUAUAUCUCACUGGACAGGUUUAUAUAGAGUGAAAGUAGCCCAUUCACUUACAACUGGUGGACACAAUAACAUAACAGAACACGUGUGCAGUGUAAGGAAAUCCAAUGCAUUUGCCCUUUAAUAGUUUGUCAGGCCAUAGUUUGUGUUUUUUUGUAUUGGCUUAUUAUUAUUUUGCAUUGGUUAGCUUAGCUUAGCACAAAGACUUGAAAUAGGGGAAACAGCUUGCCUGUUCAAAGGUGACAAAAUUUGUCCACCAGCACCUCCAAACCUCACUAUAUCUUGUUUUGUGCCUGGCCAAGAAAUAGUCUUGCACAUAACCCCCUGUAAAACCACAAUGGGCUGUUUUUACACUUCAAAUUGAACAAAUGAGAUAUAACAUGUUGAUUAGUGAGCUUCAGAGGUGUUGGUAGGUGGAUUUUUUCUACCUUUAGACAGAGCCAGGCUCGCUAUUUCCUCCCUGUGUCCAGUCUUUGUGCUAAUCUAAGCUAACCAUCUGCUAACUGUAGCUUCUGUACUGAAAUGAGAUUGGUAUCAGUCUUCCCAUCUCAACUCUUGGCAAGAAAGUGGAGUAUAUUUUCAGAAAUGUCAAACUAUUCCUUUAAAGGUCCAAAUCCUACACGCUGGUCCUUAAGGAAAUGUACCGUAUGUAUUAUUAGCAAAAUGUAGUUAAAUUAUCAAAACUAAAAGUACUCAAAGCAGAAAAAUGGCCAUUACUGAUUACUAAUGCUUUAAUGUGUACAGUGACUAGCAUUGUAGUUGAUCAAAGCAGAGCCAGUAAUAAUCAGUAUUCUAUAUAUUCUUGUUAUCUAUAUUGCAAUGCAUCAUAUUUUACAAGCUCAUUUUGUUUCUAAAAUGUUAAUUUGUAAAGAACCCUGUAAAACUGAAGACUAAAUGUAGAGUACAGUAUUACCCUCUGAAUUGUUGUGAAGUACAAAGACAUCUAAUGGAAAAUAUGCAAGUAGCUAAGUAAGUAAAGUACCUCAGACUUGUAUCUAAGUGCAGUGCUAGAGUAAAUGUACCUAGACUUAAUGUUAAAACUGCACAGCUUAUUUUAUAUUGUGAGCUGUGAACCACUGAGGGUGAACAAAUAACAGAGUUGAUAUGAAUCAGCACAUUUCUGACAAAGACUUAGCUAAAACUGGACAAUGAGUAAGUGUCACAUGCUCUGAAUGGCUUUUGUAUGGGCAUUCAAUACAUUUGACAUGUUUUUAUUAUGUCCACCACUGUAUUAUGAAUGCAAAAGUGUAGUCCUUCUUCCAUGGCUGAAGGAGUCUGAAAAUCUGCCAGUGGUGCUUACAUUACACUCCCAGGCCAAUUCCUUGGGUCCACCUAUAAACUCUAAUACGAGCCAACCUAUCAGCCAGAAUUUCUUCCUUUAUGAUGUUAUAAUGCUGUUUUAUUUCUCAGAAAGGUGUUAACUCAAUCAUAUGUUUAUGACUGAGAUCCCAGUUUGCAGUGGCAUCGGAUUGGACUGUAUUAUGUUAAAAUGUGUCUUUAGAAACACCUCUCAUGGGGCGCCCUAUAGCUCCCCUAAAGCUGGCGCCCCUCAUUGAAUACCAGUAUGUUGGUACUGAAUGGCAGAUCUGCUGAACUCAGAUCAGUUUGAGAUUUUUAUCUAAAAAAGGCAAAAAGCUCAAAGAAAUAUUUUUAAAAAAGACCACUGCCAGCUACAAUCUCAAUAAUAAACAUAAAGUUGAACAUUAUCUUUGUCAAAAUAGAUUGCAUUAGGUUUUAGAGAAAUAACAGUAAUAUAGUCACUGUAAAAUUAUACACAUGACUAAUGGAAAACUUUGGGAAAAACAAUGAAGGGCAUGUGAUCAUGGUAAUGGUGUUUAUGGUCUUUUUACAAUGUUGCAAUCUGCCUGCAGAAUGUGAAAAAAGUCAAAGGCUUAACUAAACAUACUUCUGGGUUAAAGUGAACCAGUUGCAUUUAUUUAAUUAUUUGUCAAUAAGAAAUAAAAAAACAAGAUGGUUAAUGA
Long non-coding RNA from Dicentrarchus labrax (European seabass), 3069 nucleotides. RefSeq lists it as uncharacterized. Lineage: Eukaryota; Metazoa; Chordata; Actinopteri; Moronidae. The transcript has 2 exons. The record is from RefSeq and is a predicted model, not a curated record.